Non-coding RNA from Schizosaccharomyces pombe (fission yeast), 647 nucleotides. NCBI's taxonomy places the organism in Eukaryota, Fungi, Ascomycota, Schizosaccharomycetes, Schizosaccharomycetales, Schizosaccharomycetaceae. The record is from the annotation of a GenBank genome assembly.
GUAAACUAUAAUACUAGAAAAGAGUUCGCUAAAAAGAUUUUUCUGUAUUUUAAAAGAAGCCGUAAAACUAGAGCAUCGAUUUUGGUCCUUCAAGUAAUAACUUGGCUUUAGACGUUUCCACUUUCCUUUGCAUAUACAUCGAUAAAAGUACAAGUAAAAGGGAGUUCAAAGAGACGCUUUUGGUCGUCUCUGACAGUCUUUGGAGAGAAGCUUACAUCUCGUUCGCUUGAAGCAAAGACAAAAGUAGACGUAUGUACUGGAAUUGCGAAGUGGUAUGAAAUUAAAGCUUUUAUAUCUAACAGUUUCCAAUUAUAAUGGAGCUUUAAUAACAUUGUCGCACCUGAGUUAAUUGACGAUAUUUUGAUGCCCUUUGUUAUGCGAUUUUUAAGAAUGCCAGACGUCCAGUCAUUGAUUGAAGCUUCCAAAUGGAAUUGAAUGCUUGGCAACUCGUGAGAUUUCCAUAUUUCCUCCCAGAAUGGCUCUAUUUUCGUAAGCUCUUCAACAUCCUUAAUUUCAUUAUCAAUCACAAGCUUCCGGAUGCAUGAAGUGUAGUACAACUCAGCAUCCAAACGCUCAUUAGGUGAUAUAUUCACAUCAUUCAAUUUUACAAGAGAAGGAAUUCGCGCAAUCACCAGCAGUUUAGCUAU